RNAcentral lists this ribosomal RNA (522 nucleotides) under uncultured bacterium. RNAcentral's name for it is "bacterial SSU rRNA". It matches the Rfam family "Archaeal small subunit ribosomal RNA", at positions 345 to 866 of the family's 1478-position model. The record is from RNAcentral.
AACCUCCGCAAUGUGAGAAAUCGCGACGGGGGGAUCCCAAGUGCCAUUCUUAACGGGAUUGCUUUUUCAUUAGUGUAAAGAGCUUUUGGAAUAAGGGCUGGGCAAGACCGGUGCCAGCCGCCGCGGUAACACCGGCAGCUCUAGUGGUAGCAGUUUUUAUUGGGCCUAAAGCGUCCGUAGCCGGUUUAAUAAGUCUCUGGUGAAAUCCUGUAGCUUAACUGUGGGAAUUGCUGGAGAUACUAUUAGACUUGAGACCGGGAGAGGUUAGAGGUACUCCCAGGGUAGAGGUGGAAUUCUGUAAUCCUGGGAGGACCGCCUGUUGCGAAGGCGUCUAACUGGAACGGUUCUGACGGUGAGGGACGAAAGUUAGGGGCGCGAACCGGAUUAGAUACCCGGGUAGUCCUAACUGUAAACGAUGCGGACUUGGUGUUGGGGUGGCUUUGAGCUGCUCCAGUGCCGAAGGGAAGCUGUUAAGUCCGCCGCCUGGGGAGUACGGUCGCAAGACUGAAACUUAAAGGAAUU